RNAcentral lists this transfer RNA (78 nucleotides) under Rhizobiaceae bacterium. Its description in RNAcentral is "tRNA-OTHER". The record is from RNAcentral. Lineage: Bacteria; Pseudomonadati; Pseudomonadota; Alphaproteobacteria; Hyphomicrobiales; Rhizobiaceae.
GCCCCUGUAUCCGCGCGGGCCUUCUAUCCCGAUGGCGGUAAAUGGAGGAUGCCGGUUCGAGUCCGGCCAGGGGCUCCA